GGCCGGCUUGGCGCAAUUGGUAGCGCACCGCUCUUGUAAAGCGGUGGUUGCGGGUUCGAGUCCCGCAGCCGGCUCCC
RNAcentral lists this transfer RNA (77 nucleotides) under Agromyces bauzanensis. RNAcentral's name for it is "tRNA-Thr". It matches the Rfam family "tRNA". Rfam says of the family: Transfer RNA (tRNA) molecules are approximately 80 nucleotides in length. The record is from RNAcentral. Lineage: Bacteria; Bacillati; Actinomycetota; Actinomycetes; Micrococcales; Microbacteriaceae.